CUCUGUGUGCAUCCAUGUACAGAUAGUGCUGCUCCUCGCUAACAGGGUGUCUGGCACUUUGCUUCCAGCCCAGAAUUAAUGACUCAGCUGGCCUGAAGAGCCAAGGGUGACCAGCCCCAUGCCAUGCAGGGGUGCAGAGCAGCCCAGGCGGGUUCCACCUGAGGAAAGGGUCCAGUGAGGUUGCUGCCGAGCACUCUCCAUAGUGUCAGGCUAGCAGUGUCCCUGUUCCUUCAGUGUAAGCCUGGAGCUUUCCUGGGCACUCUUGCCCCCUUCAAUAGGAAAUUUGGCGUCCUGAGCUAAGCAUCUUCUCUACUUGGGUGUCCCAAAUGGUUAACAAUCCCAGCAGCAAUGGAUGGGUGGUGAGGAGAUUGAUUGCCUCCUGCAAGCAGCUGACCCUACACGUGUUUAUCCAAGUGACUGGAGCUGUGCCAGUCUCUCUGAGUGCUGCUCGAGAUGGGCCAGCCUGGGGCCAUGCCUGCACAGUCCUGCCUUGAGAAGAGAAACUGAAACAAAGACUUCCCGGCCGGUUGUGUUUCCUGUAGCAUGAGGGACUCUAGAUUCCUGGAAGCCAUGGCAUCAGGGUUCUGCUGGACCUGGGUGCUUUCCUGGUAUUUCUUGCAGAUGUCCUGAUGGGAGUGGCUGCAGAAAGGCAGGAGGCAAGGAGGGGAUGGGGGCAGUGCUGCAGUCAGACAGGGACGUGCUGCUGGCUCAGGGUGACCCUGGGCAGCUACAUGCCAGAGAGCUGUGGGCUGACAGCAACCUGUGCUUUCAGAAAGCCACUGUUUUGUGACAAGUCUCAGUUGAGAAACACCUUAGUGCCUCUGUCGAAAGAGACCUGAUAGAUACACUUGGCUUUGUUGUUAUGCUGGUUCUUGGAUUUAAUCUAUGCUAGAGGAAAAAACAAUAACAAAAACGCCCAGGUAGGUGGAACAGUAAAGAGGCUUUUAGUGAACUGGUAGCCAAGCCUUGCCUUUGCUGACCCAGUCACUGUGCAGACCCAGUUCCACAGGUGUGGCACCACAGCCCCCAAGCUCACAGAGCCCCUCUUAGGGGUGUCCAUCUGCCACAGCUCUCCCCACUCUGUGCUGUCCCCAGGAGGGCUAUAGCCCUGAACAUUAAUGUGAGGCAGAUGAGCUGGGCUGUUACUGAGUGUUGCUCAUGUGAGGCUCUGUGGUUGCUUGGCAGUGAUGGCAACUUUGGAAACUCAUGCACUACGUUAUCUUCAGCCUGCUGUGGCAAGAAUGCCUCAUUUUGCUUCUGCUCAUAGCCAGCCCUGAUGUUGACUGGCUGCAGGGUCAGUACGUGAGCUCUGGAGCGGGACAGCCUGUAUCCGGAGCCUUCCUUCCUCUGUGAUAACGUCAGUGCUGGAAGCAGGCGGCUAUUUUGGUCCCAGGAAUGCCAGCGGAUGAUUUCACUUUUGUUUCGUACCCGAUAACCUUUCCCAUCACAAUGAGAGACGACGUCCGCGCUCGCUACGCUUCCGUGUGCGAGGGGAAAGCCAUUCAAGCGCCUCUGCAGGGGAAAAGAAAGAGCCAGGUUAAAAAUAGCUUCUGAUUGUCCAUGGAGCCUGGGCAAAGGAAGGGCAAAAGCCUUUCCUUGUUCCACUGCCCGGUCCCAUACACUGGGAGCAGCUUUUCUGGCCGAGCCGGGCCAUGGGGACAGCGACCGUGGGAAUAUCUGGUGUGCUGGCUCUGCGUCAGCCUCAUGGGGGUGGGAAGGUCUGUGAGAGACUUUCUUUUCUGUGCAGAGUUGUCCCAAUGUGGGGCUCCAGGAGUGCUACAGACAUCUGCUUUGCUUGUCACCUGCAUGUCUCUACCCCUCCUGCCCUUCUCCUAGUCCUUUCUCUACUGGG
This is a long non-coding RNA of Hirundo rustica (Barn swallow), 1852 nucleotides long. RefSeq lists it as uncharacterized. The transcript is spliced from 3 exons. NCBI's taxonomy places the organism in Eukaryota, Metazoa, Chordata, Aves, Passeriformes, Hirundinidae. The record is from RefSeq and is a predicted model, not a curated record.